Molecule: ribosomal RNA, 268 nt
Filed under: uncultured bacterium
Lineage: Bacteria
Description: partial 16S ribosomal RNA
Rfam family: Bacterial small subunit ribosomal RNA
Source: RNAcentral
CGUAAACAAAGGGAAGCGAAGUCGUGAGGCCAAGCAAAUCUCAAAAAUAACGCCUCAGUUCGGAUUGUAGUCUGCAACUCGACUACAUGAAGCUGGAAUCGCUAGUAAUCGCGAAUCAGAAUGUCGCGGUGAAUACGUUCCCGGGUCUUGUACACACCGCCCGUCACACCAUGGGAGUCAGUAACGCCCGAAGUCAGUGACCCAACCUUAGGGGAGGGAGCUGCCGAAGGCGGGACGGAUAACUGGGGUGAAGUCGUAACAAGGUAAC